GUAAAAAUGCUUACAUAUGAAAAUUAAAACUUAUAGUAGAAAAAAUUGUUUUUUAAACAAAAAAAACACAUACAUUGUCCUUAUGGGUUAAUAUCAAUCUAAUCUUGUCCCAUUAAUCUAACAUUUCAUGAAAAUCCAACAAUGCCCUUAGUUUGUUUUUUUAAAAUAUAAUUAAAACUAACGAAUAUAUAUUAAGAAAAUGUUAAAAAUA
This 211-nucleotide long non-coding RNA is filed under the name Brassica napus (rape). Its description in RNAcentral is "long non-coding RNA (BNAP_LNC017753)". Lineage: Eukaryota; Viridiplantae; Streptophyta; Magnoliopsida; Brassicales; Brassicaceae. The record is from RNAcentral.